RNAcentral lists this ribosomal RNA (292 nucleotides) under uncultured bacterium. RNAcentral describes it as "partial 16S ribosomal RNA". It matches the Rfam family "Bacterial small subunit ribosomal RNA", at positions 505 to 796 of the family's 1533-position model. The record is from RNAcentral.
GUGCCAGCAGCCGCGGUAAUACGUAGGGUGCGAGCGUUAAUCGGAAUUACUGGGCGUAAAGAGUGCGUAGGCGGUUCUUUGUGUCCGCUGUGAAAGCCCCGGGCUUAACCUGGGAAUGGCAGUGGAAACUAGAGAACUUGAAUCUGGCAGAGGGGGGUGGAAUGCCACGUGUAGCAGUGAAAUGCGUAGAUAUGUGGCGGAACACCGAUGGCGAAGGCAGCCCCCUGGGCUGAGAUUGACGCUCAGGCACGAAAGCGUGGGGAGCAAACAGGAUUAGAUACCCUGGUAGUCC